UCAACUGUGCAAAGUGAAAAAUAACAUAAACAUAAACAAGUUAAAUGAUAUGUAUAAUACCAAAUGGUAAAUGACUUGAAUUUAAAAUGCAUAAAGUAAAUGACUUGAAAUUAAAAGAGUUGGUGAAAUUGUUAGUUGAUUAGAAGUUAGUGGAGUUUUGCUUUUUCUAUUGUUUAAGUCAUUCUUUGGAGAGCACUCAACCCUCUCUAUUCACAAGCAUGCAUCCUUGAACUAAGACAUCUCCCAAAGGAAGGAAAAAAGGCCAAGUUUCCACUUAAUACCAUGAAAGGGGGGAGACUUACAAUCAUACUUACU
This 315-nucleotide long non-coding RNA is filed under the name Lathyrus oleraceus (garden pea). RNAcentral's name for it is "Pisum sativum (pea) long non-coding RNA (PSAT_LNC006958)". Lineage: Eukaryota; Viridiplantae; Streptophyta; Magnoliopsida; Fabales; Fabaceae. The record is from RNAcentral.